GACGAACGCUGGCGGCGUGCCUAAUACAUGCAAGUAGAACGCUGAAGGAGGAGCUUGCUUCUCUGGAUGAGUUGCGAAUGGGUGAGUAACGCGUAGGUAACCUGCCUGGUAGCGGGGGAUAACUAUUGGAAACGAUAGCUAAUACCGCAUAAUAGUAGAUGUUGCAUGACAUUUGCUUAAAAGGUGCAAUUGCAUCACUACCAGAUGGACCUGCGUUGUAUUAGCUAGUUGGUGGGGUAACGGCUCACCAAGGCGACGAUACAUAGCCGACCUGAGAGGGUGAUCGGCCACACUGGGACUGAGACACGGCCCAGACUCCUACGGGAGGCAGCAGUAGGGAAUCUUCGGCAAUGGACGGAAGUCUGACCGAGCAACGCCGCGUGAGUGAAGAAGGUUUUCGGAUCGUAAAGCUCUGUUGUAAGAGAAGAACGAGUGUGAGAGUGGAAAGUUCACACUGUGACGGUAUCUUACCAGAAAGGGACGGCUAACUACGUG
RNAcentral lists this ribosomal RNA (495 nucleotides) under uncultured bacterium. Its description in RNAcentral is "partial 16S ribosomal RNA". It matches the Rfam family "Bacterial small subunit ribosomal RNA", at positions 28 to 507 of the family's 1533-position model. The record is from RNAcentral.